Molecule: ribosomal RNA, 310 nt
Filed under: Cyclophora tenuis
Lineage: Eukaryota; Bacillariophyta; Fragilariophyceae; Cyclophorales; Cyclophoraceae
Description: partial Bacterial large subunit ribosomal RNA
Rfam family: Bacterial large subunit ribosomal RNA
Source: RNAcentral
CUCCAAAAGCGUAACGGAGGCUUCUAAAGGUGCCCUCAGGACGAUUGGUAACCGUCCGCAGAGUGUAAUGGCAUAAGGGCGCUUGACUGGGAGACAGACAGGUCGAUCAGGUGGGAAACCAGAGCAUAGUGAUCCGGUGUUUCUGUAUGGAAAGGACAUCGCUCAAAGGAUAAAAGGUACUCCGGGGAUAACAGGCUGAUCCCUCCCAAGAGCUCAUAUCGACGGAGUGGUUUGGCACCUCGAUGUCGGCUCGUCACAUCCUGGGGCUGGAGAAGGUCCCAAGGGUUGGGCUGUUCGCCCAUUAAAGUGG